AACCCAGUCAAUGAAUCUGCUUACCCAAAUGUGUUUCUGUAGAAAUUUAGAAAAUGCUGGCAAUAGGAAAGCCAUGUUACAGGCCUUAAAAACAUUGAAGUCAUUAAGGCCCUUGAAAAUGGCUAGAAGA
This is a small nucleolar RNA of Balaenoptera musculus (blue whale), 130 nucleotides long. RefSeq annotates it as small nucleolar RNA SNORA33. The transcript has a single exon. The record is from RefSeq and is a predicted model, not a curated record. NCBI's taxonomy places the organism in Eukaryota, Metazoa, Chordata, Mammalia, Artiodactyla, Balaenopteridae.